CCUACGGGCGGCAGCAGUGAGGAAUAUUGGUCAAUGGACGAGAGUCUGAACCAGCCAAGUAGCGUGAAGGAUGACUGCCCUAUGGGUUGUAAACUUCUUUUAUAUGGGAAUAAAACGUUCCACGUGUGGGAUUUUGUAUGUACCAUAUGAAUAAGGAUCGGCUAACUCCGUGCCAGCAGCCGCGGUAAUACGGAGGAUCCGAGCGUUAUCCGGAUUUAUUGGGUUUAAAGGGAGCGUAGGUGGAUUGUUAAGUCAGUUGUGAAAGUUUGCGGCUCAACCGUAAAAUUGCAGUUGAAACUGGCAGUCUUGAGUACAGUAGAGGUGGGCGGAAUUCGUUGUGUAGCGGUGAAAUGCUUAGAUAUCACGAAGAACUCCGAUUGCGAAGGCAGUUCACUGGACUGCAACUGACACUGAGGCUCGAAAGUGUGGGUAUCAAACAGGAUUAGAUACCCGUGUAGUC
This 460-nucleotide ribosomal RNA is filed under the name uncultured bacterium. RNAcentral describes it as "partial 16S ribosomal RNA". It matches the Rfam family "Bacterial small subunit ribosomal RNA", at positions 338 to 795 of the family's 1533-position model. The record is from RNAcentral.